RNAcentral lists this ribosomal RNA (478 nucleotides) under uncultured bacterium. RNAcentral describes it as "partial 16S ribosomal RNA". It matches the Rfam family "Bacterial small subunit ribosomal RNA", at positions 28 to 507 of the family's 1533-position model. The record is from RNAcentral.
GAUGAACGCUGGCGGCGUGCUUAACACAUGCAAGUCGAGCGAGAAGUUUUGAAAAGAUUCUUCGGAUGAAAUUUAAAAUGGAAAGCGGCGGACGGGUGAGCAACGCGUAGGCAACCUGCCCCAUACAAAGGGAUAGCAUUUGGAAACGAAUAUUAAUACCUUAUGAAACUUACUAGUGCAUGCUAGGUAGGUCAAAGAUUUAUCGGUAUGGGAUGGGCCUGCGUCUGAUUAGCUAGUUGGUGAGGUAACGGCUCACCAAGGCGACGAUCAGUAGCCGACCUGAGAGGGUGAACGGCCACAUUGGAACUGAGACACGGUCCAAACUCCUACGGGAGGCAGCAGUGGGGAAUAUUGCACAAUGGGGGAAACCCUGAUGCAGCAACGCCGCGUGAACGAUGAAGGCCUUUGGGUCGUAAAGUUCUGUUCUAGGUGAUGAAAACUGACAGUAACCUAGGAGAAAGCCCCGGCUAACUCCGUG